Long non-coding RNA from Culex quinquefasciatus (southern house mosquito), 527 nucleotides. RefSeq lists it as uncharacterized. NCBI's taxonomy places the organism in Eukaryota, Metazoa, Arthropoda, Insecta, Diptera, Culicidae. The record is from RefSeq and is a predicted model, not a curated record. The transcript has 2 exons.
AAUUGCACUUCGAUUCAUCCCAAUUGACUUUUCCUUUAGGUUUCAAGUGAAUUUCACGUUACUAUCGAAUGUUUUGAUAUUGAAGUUCGAAAAGAAAAAAAUUGUCUAAGUCAAGAUGGCCACUCACAUUAAAUCUGAGUCAGAGCUCUCGCGUUUAAAUUGGACUAUUCGACAGAAAAGAGGGUUUUAUUUUCGCGAAAUUGUGGCAGGAUUAUCUCUAAAACUAUGGGAAUUAUCAUCUGCUUCUCGCCGCCGCUGCCUCAAAUUUUUUUAAGUAUCUGCAUAACAUUUUUUUUGAUGAUGACUGACCCCCAUCGAGGCAUGUUUAUGAUUGUCAACGAGGAUCCGGAAAUGUCCAAGGAGACCCGCGAGAGUCCCGGUGUGUGGCGCAGGAGCACGGCUUGCUGCUUAUACGGAGAGCAUUUUUUGUGUGAAGUGUGAAUGAAAAAGUGAUGUGUAUGUGUAUUCUCGUAGAAGGCUUAAAGUGUAAUAUAUUUUUAAAAAUAAAUGGAAAACUAAUGAAUGCA